UACGGAGGGUGCAAGCGUUAUCCGGAUUUACUGGGUUUAAAGGGUGCGUAGGCGGAUUGUUAAGUCAGUGGUGAAAGAUUCGAGCUCAACUCGGAAACUGCCAUUGAUACUGAUGAUCUUGAGUACAGUUGAGGUAGGCGGAAUGUGUCAUGUAGCGGUGAAAUGCUUAGAUAUGACACAGAACACCGAUUGCGAAGGCAGCUUGCUAAACUGUUAUUGACGCUGAGGCACGAAAGCGUGGGGAUCAAACAGG
RNAcentral lists this ribosomal RNA (253 nucleotides) under uncultured bacterium. RNAcentral describes it as "partial 16S ribosomal RNA". It matches the Rfam family "Bacterial small subunit ribosomal RNA", at positions 524 to 776 of the family's 1533-position model. The record is from RNAcentral.